UGAGCUGAUUACAGUCCUAAUCAAAUAAUGUAAAAAAGGCAAGUUCUUUGUAAUCAAGAAAAUGCAGCUUCACAUCUUGGCUUUGCUGCCACCAGCCAUGUAGACUUGGGCCUGUCUGAGUCUGUCUCCACAUCAUAGGGUUGCUCAUAGGCAGAUGUUGGUGUCAGGGUGUGAAAAAAGUAGGAAGUGCAACUCCUGCAUGCAGGAGAGCAGCACAGAAGAGGAAAAGAGCAGUAGGAGACUCAACUGAGAUUCCCCCAGCCUCAGAGGGAAGCAGAAGCAGCAGAAUGAUGCCAGUGAGGAAUUGCAGGAGUUAACCAAGAGGGCUAGUCCUGAGCAAGGCUGAGCACAAGGGAUGCUCAGCAUGGAAAAAUGAUGAGCCAGGGCAGAAGGACCCACACUCCUACCCCUGGAUGGCUCAGUACUAAGCGGAUGGCUUCGACAGACUCUCCCUGUGGGUGUUGGGUCUGGGCCAGACAAGAAAUUGCAUCGGGACCAUCUUCACUAGAAUGUCAGAUCCAGGAGGGCCAGGACUUGAUUUUUAUUUAUUGCUGUAUCCUGGUAUAUAGGAGGUGCUGAGUAAGUGUUAAGAUUUGUUGCUCCAUAGGUAAUGGGAAGUGUUUGAUAGCUGAAACUCCUG
Non-coding RNA from Microcebus murinus (gray mouse lemur), 640 nucleotides. The record is from RefSeq and is a predicted model, not a curated record. Lineage: Eukaryota; Metazoa; Chordata; Mammalia; Primates; Cheirogaleidae.